This 580-nucleotide ribosomal RNA is filed under the name Moesziomyces aphidis. Its description in RNAcentral is "eukaryotic LSU rRNA". It matches the Rfam family "Eukaryotic large subunit ribosomal RNA", at positions 89 to 650 of the family's 3401-position model. Lineage: Eukaryota; Fungi; Basidiomycota; Ustilaginomycetes; Ustilaginales; Ustilaginaceae. The record is from RNAcentral.
GCGAGUGAAGAGGGAAGAGCCCAAGAUUGAAAGCUGGCGUCUUCGGCGUCCGCAUUGUAAUCUCAAGAAGUGUUUUCCGCUUCGGACCAAGCCUAAGUCCCUUGGAAAAGGGCAUCAUAGAGGGUGAUAAUCCCGUACAUGGCUUGGAGCGCCCGAAGCUUUGUGAUACGCUUUCUAAGAGUCGAGUUGUUUGGGAAUGCAGCUCAAAAUGGGUGGUAAAUGCCAUCUAAGGCUAAAUAUUGGGGAGAGACCGAUAGCGAACAAGUACAGUGAUGGAAAGAUGAAAAGAACUUUGAAAAGAGAGUUAAACAGUACGUGAAAUUGCCAAAAGGGAAGGGUAGGAGGUCAGAGAUGCGGCCUGGGAUUCAGCCUUGCUUUUGCUUGGUGUUUUUCCCAGAUUGCAGGCCAACGUCGGUUUUGGGCACUGGAGAAGGGUAGGAGGAACGUGGCACCUCUCGGGGUGUGUUAUAGCCUCCUACUGGAUACAGCGACCGAGACCGAGGACAGCAGCGUACUCGCAAGAGCGGGCCUUCGGGCACCUUUACGCUUAGGGCGUUGGCAUAAUGGCCCUCUACCACCC